Molecule: ribosomal RNA, 504 nt
Filed under: uncultured bacterium
Lineage: Bacteria
Description: partial 16S ribosomal RNA
Rfam family: Bacterial small subunit ribosomal RNA
Source: RNAcentral
AUUGAACGCUGGCGGCAGGCCUAACACAUGCGAGUCGAGCGGUAGCACAGAGAGCUUGCUCUCGGGUGACGAGCGGCGGACGGGUGAGUAAUGUCUGGGAAACUGCCUGAUGGAGGGGGAUAACUACUGGAAACGGUAGCUAAUACCGCAUAACGUCGCGAGACCAAAGUGGGGGACCUUCGGGCCUCAUGCCAUCAGAUGUGCCCAGAUGGGAUUAGCUGGUAGGUGGGGUAACGGCUCACCUAGGCGACGAUCCCUAGCUGGUCUGAGAGGAUGACCAGCCACACUGGAACUGAGACACUGUCCAGACUCCGACGGGAGGCAGCAGUGGGGAAUAUUGCACAAUGGGCGCAAGCCUGAUGCAGCCAUGCCGCGUGUGUGAAGAAGGCCUUCGGGUUGUAAAGCACUUUCAGCGGGGAGGAAGGCGAUGAGGUUAAUACCUUUGCUCAUUGACGUUACCCGCAGAAGAAGCACCGGCUAACUCCGUGCCAGCCGCCGCAGUAA